Molecule: ribosomal RNA, 454 nt
Filed under: uncultured bacterium
Lineage: Bacteria
Description: partial 16S ribosomal RNA
Rfam family: Bacterial small subunit ribosomal RNA
Source: RNAcentral
GAUGAACGCUGACAGAAUGCUUAACACAUGCAAGUCUACUUGAACUUCGGUUUGGGUGGCGGACGGGUGAGUAACGCGUAAAGAACUUGCCUCACAGUUAGGGACAACAUUUGGAAACGAAUGCUAAUACCUGAUAUUAUGAUUUUAGGGCAUCCUAAAAUUAUGAAAGCUAUAUGCGCUGUGAGAGAGCUUUGCGUCCCAUUAGCUAGUUGGAGAGGUAACGGCUCACCAAGGCGAUGAUGGGUAGCCGGCCUGAGAGGGUGAACGGCCACAAGGGGACUGAGACACGGCCCUUACUCCUACGGGAGGCAGCAGUGGGGAAUAUUGGACAAUGGACUAAAAGUCUGAUCCAGCAAUUCUGUGUGCACGAUGACGUUUUUCGGAAUGUAAAGUGCUUUCAGUUGGGAAGAAAAAAAUGACGGUACCAACAGAAGAAGAGACGGCUAAAUACGUG